UGGUGCGAUCAUACCAGCACUAAUGCACUGGAUCCCAUCAGAACUCCGCGGUUAAGCAUGCUUGGGCAAGAGUAGUACAGGGAUGCGUGACCUCCUGGGAAGUCCUCGUUUUGCACCCC
Molecule: ribosomal RNA, 119 nt
Filed under: Cephalotus follicularis
Lineage: Eukaryota; Viridiplantae; Streptophyta; Magnoliopsida; Oxalidales; Cephalotaceae
Source: RNAcentral